GCAAGUCGAACGAGAACGGUACUAGCUUGCUAGUAUGUCAGCUAAGUGGCGGACGGGUGAGUAAUGUAUAGUUAAUCUGCCCCUUAGAGAGGGAUAACUACUGGAAACGGUAGCUAAUACCUUAUACUCCUUUUGCUGUAAUGGUAAUAGGGAAACGUUUUUUCGCUAAAGGAUGAGACUAUAUGGUAUCAGGUAGUUGGUGGGGUAAGAGCCUACCAAGCCAAUGACGCCUAGCUGGUCUGAGAGGAUGAUC
This 253-nucleotide ribosomal RNA is filed under the name uncultured bacterium. RNAcentral's name for it is "partial 16S ribosomal RNA". It matches the Rfam family "Bacterial small subunit ribosomal RNA", at positions 57 to 305 of the family's 1533-position model. The record is from RNAcentral.